RNAcentral lists this ribosomal RNA (497 nucleotides) under uncultured bacterium. RNAcentral describes it as "partial 16S ribosomal RNA". It matches the Rfam family "Bacterial small subunit ribosomal RNA", at positions 28 to 507 of the family's 1533-position model. The record is from RNAcentral.
GAUGAACGCUGGCGGCGUGCCUAAUACAUGCAAGUAGAACGCUGAAGCUUGGUGCUUGCACCGAGCGGUUGAGUUGCGAACGGGUGAGUAACGCGUAGGUAACCUGCCUCUUAGCGGGGGAUAACUAUUGGAAACGAUAGCUAAUACCGCAUAAAAGUCGAUAUCGCAUGAUAUUGAUUUGAAAGGUGCAAAUGCAUCACUAAGAGAUGGACCUGCGUUGUAUUAGCUAGUUGGUGAGGUAACGGCUCACCAAGGCGACGAUACAUAGCCGACCUGAGAGGGUGAUCGGCCACACUGGGACUGAGACACGGCCCAGACUCCUACGGGAGGCAGCAGUAGGGAAUCUUCGGCAAUGGGGGCAACCCUGACCGAGCAACGCCGCGUGAGUGAAGAAGGUUUUCGGAUCGUAAAGCUCUGUUGUAAGAGAAGAACGAGUGUGAGAGUGGAAAGUUCACACUGUGACGGUAACUUACCAGAAAGGGACGGCUAACUACGUG